GCGGGCCUGGGCAGUGUUGACGAUGCGGAGCUACCCGAUCCGUCCGAAAUGGCAGAAGUGGAGGAGACACUGAAGCGACUUCAGAGCCAGAAGGGAGUGCAGGGAAUCAUCGUGGUGAACACAGAAGGCAUUCCUAUCAAGAGCACCAUGGACAACCCCACCACCACCCAGUACGCCAACCUCAUGCACAACUUCAUCCUGAAGGCCCGGAGCACCGUGCGUGAAAUUGACCCCCAGAAUGACCUCACUUUCCUUCGAAUUCGCUCUAAGAAAAAUGAAAUUAUGGUUGCGCCAGGUAAGAGGUCUUCCGUGUCCCCUCUUAGGAUCAGGCUAUCACUACUGCUUAUCAGGAAGGCUUAG
Molecule: RNA transcript, 360 nt
Organism: Myotis davidii
Lineage: Eukaryota; Metazoa; Chordata; Mammalia; Chiroptera; Vespertilionidae
Gene name: dynein light chain roadblock-type 1 pseudogene
Exons: 1
Source: RefSeq, a predicted model, not a curated record